Molecule: long non-coding RNA, 5337 nt
Filed under: Marmota monax (woodchuck)
Lineage: Eukaryota; Metazoa; Chordata; Mammalia; Rodentia; Sciuridae
Source: RNAcentral
AUUUUAUUGAACCCAUGGCCUCAACUUGCUAGGCAAGCACUCUGUCACCAAAUCAUAUCCUGAGCCCUUUACCUUUGCUGGAGCAAAGGAGCAGAAGUCCUGUCCCAGCCUACAGGCCAUUUUCCAGCUUCUGCUGCCCUUCCAUCUUGCUCCCAUGCCUGGGAGUAAAAAGGCACCCAACAUUGAGUGGUUUUUGUAUAGGGAUGCUGACCCCUCACACUGGUUCAGAGCCCAGGAAUGCUUACUGAGCACACCCUUGAAAGUCCUCUUCCCAGCAGGGGCUGAGCAAGACCUUGGGACAUGCAAUGCAAUUCCACCACAAGGACGUCUCCUUUGCUCCAGCUAAGCACAGAGCUCGUGACAAUUAGUGCAGCCUUUGGUGAAAGUGCUGAUUCGGGAUUCCUUGCUGAGACUGUGGCCUGCAUGGUGUGGGAAAAGGGCAUGUAGCCUGGGAUACAGGGAUGGCCAGGAAAUGACUGAGCAGCCUAAAGGGCCAUGAACCCAGCAUUUUCAGCCAGAAAGGCUGAUAGUAUUUUUUCAAAGAGACUUCUAGAAGUUAGUACUUGUGUUGCAGAUAUGAACUUCACAGGCUUCCAACUUAGGUGCAAAAAUAUUGCUUUACUUUCCUAUAACUAAAAUUAAUUGCUAGUGCACGACAUUUCAAAUCUGGUGGGCCAAUAUGGUGACUUCUGAGUUCCUCUGGGUUUGUAAUUCGGUCACAGUUGGGACUUUGACCUUCCAGGUCCUCUCUAGGAGUGAUGCUGAGAAUGUUCAAUGGAACACUCUCAAAUGGAGUGAUGCUGAGAGUGUUCAAUGGAACACUCUCAAAUGGAACACAAUGGGGUAGGGUAGCCACUCAGUGGAAUCCUCUGGGAUCAUGUAUUUUUCUAGCCAUGGUUUUGUUGCUGGUUUUAUGUUUGUGCCUGUAUCUCCUCCUGUCCCUGUGGAGUCACCUGUUACUGUCCUCAGCUGCAUUCUUACCAUGGGCACAGGAAGGUGUGGCUGCUCUCCCAACCCUGUCUCCCUCCUCAUUAUGUUCAAAUGAGAAUCCUCAUGAGGUUUAAGGUGGCUGCAGACCCAGUCCCAGGGCUUUUCAGGCCUAGUUUUCAGAACAGUGACUGCUGGUAAACCUGUGAGUGAGAGAAGCACGAAGCAGGCAUUGGGGAAUGAGACCGUUGGCUUCUAGCUCACCCCCUUACCCCUUCAUCCUGCUUUCAAGCCUGGGAGGAGAAAGAAGCCAAACAAAAGGGGUACCUGCACACCUGUAAUCCCAAUGGCUCAGGAGGCUGAGGCAGGAAGAUUGCAAGUUCAAAGUCAGACUCAGCAAUUUAACAAGGUCCUAAACAACUCAGUGAGAUCCUGUGGGAGGUGUGUGGGGGUGGAGAGCCUCGAACCUCACCAUCUUGUCUGUCUUAUAUCUGAUGAGGCUUUUUUUUUAUAUAUAUAAAUACUGGGGAUUGAACUCAGAGGCACUCUACCACUGAGCCUUAUCCCCAGCCCUAUUUUGUCUUUUAUUUAGACACAGGGUCUCACUGAGUUGCUUAGUGCCUCGCUGUUGCUGAAGUUGGCUUUGAACUUGCCAACCUCCUUUCUUAGCCUCCCAAGCCACUGGGUUUACAGGCAUGCACCUGAUGAGGCUUUUGAAUCUGAACAUUCAAUAAUUUGAUGGCUAGGGAGUGAGAAGGAUCCCAAAUGGCUCCAGUGACUGGAUUCCAAAAUGAAAAUAUUGCUUUCUGCCCGCACCUUCUUAGUCACUGAGGCUGACUUGGUAGUUAGUUGGCAGAUGCCGCCCAGCCCUUCCUCUGUUUCAUUUCUUCUUCCCUUUUCUCACUUCUGGCCUCCUGUCUUUUGCUUCUUCCCCCUACUCCCAGAGCAUCAUUUCAACUCUUCCUCUUUAUUUUCUUGUUUUAUUUCUUUUUUCUUUUCUUUCCUCUCCAUUCCCAUCAGCCUCCCUCCAUCAUCUGCCCUGUUUACUUUCGUUGCCUUCCAGGGGUAGGGAGCUGAGGCUCUCUGCUUUGCUCUAGGUAGACCCAAGGUGGCCUCACUGAAGCCAGUCCAGGGGGCUGCUCACUCAGCUCUCCAGCGCAGACUCAGGGCCAGGCCUCCAAGCUCAGAAACCACUGGUGGCUUCUUCUUCUGGAUCAAGUCCCCAAGUCUCCCCACUCCCAGAAUCCUGGGCUGCUUCUGUGAUUAGAGAAAGGCCAUCUGUGUUUUCUGUCAAAGAGGCAUUGUGAGGACACAAGCAAAGAGACUUGCGUUUUAGCAAAGUCAUUAAAAACAGACAAAAUCCCUCUUAAAAGAGUUUUCUAGGACUCUGGAAACCCUGCAAAACAAUUGGGUUGGUGCCCAAUGGUGUCCUCUUUUUUACAAUAAUAGAAAAAAAAGUCAAGAAAAGUCAGAGAAACCAAUCUGUGUUAUUUAUUUAUUUACUUUUUUACAAUGAAGCCUUCCUUCUCGUCCUGGAGGCAGCAAAGUGGAGAUACUGUGUGGGGCUUUUGGAAGAGGCGGGAGGGGAAGAGUUGAGAAAGGAGCCCUAGCGUAGGCCCCUCUGAGGCCUGCUGUUCCUCCCUGUGUGCUGGGGUGUCUGGCCACCCAGGGCUGACCUGUCCUCCUUUCCAGGAUGCCUUUAGUUGCUGGUACUGCUUCGGGCACACUACUGCCCAGGGGGUCUCAAACCAUGGCCCUUGAGCCAAAUCCUGGCCUUGUUUUGGUGGGACUAUCAGCUGAUAAUGGUACUGGCAUUUUCAACAGUUGAAAACAAAAUCAAAGAAUGUUUCAUGAAGUGAAAACAUAUGAAAUUAAAGUUUCAGUGCACAUAAAUAAAGCUUCAUUGGAACCCAGCCUUACUCAUUGUCCAUUCAUCAUCUGUGGCUGCUUCUCCCUGUCAAGGCAAAUGAGACAGUUGUGCCUGCAGAGCCUGUGAUGCUCACCAUAUGGCCCUUGCAGAAAGUGCGUGGAAGCCUGCUGUAGCUGAUGCAUGUGAGGCUCUGGAUGCAUUAUGUUUUAACUUUGAGUUAGCUGUGAAUCUUAAGAAGUCAGGAUUUGUCAUUCUGGAUGUCCAGGUGAAUAGGGACUGGCUGCUUUAGAAGGGCACACAGUCUCUGGCUCUCCCAAUCCUUAUCGCUUCCUACCUCCUGCCCACAGCUGAGGUGGAGAGUUGGUGUCUGUUUAUCAUUCUCACCAGUCCUUAACUGUGAUUUGGCCUCUCAAUCUCCACUCUUAGACUUCCUGGAGGUAAUUCUGAUUGUCAGGAGUAGGAGGGUGCUGCUGGCAUCUAGUGGAUAGAAGCCAGCAGUGCUGGUAAUCAUCCUACCAUGUUGGGCCCCAAAUGAUGGCAGUGUCGAGGAUGAGAACCCUGUCCUGCCUAGACUCUGCCUUUGAGGCUCAUAGGGUUCUCCUGGGUGUCACUCAAGCAUCCACAGAUACCUCUAGAUCUCUUCCCCCACUUCCCCUCUCUCAAGUUGAAGCUUGUCUUGGUCUUAAUAUUAAAAAUUCCGAGAACUUUAAAUACCAAUUAUUUACAUCAUUCCUGAUUCACUCGUGGCAUGAUAUAUGUACACCUGUAUACAUUUUCAUCUGUGUGCAAGUAUAUAUUGAAUCUAUUGUAUUCUACCUUUACUUUCAUUUAUUAGUUCAUAUAUAAAAUGCAUGCAUGAAUAUAGUUUGUAGCAUUUUGAAUGGUCAUCCAUACUUCUGCUUUGUACCUUCAUAUUAUGGUUUGUUAAGGACUUACUUAGUUGAUAGGAUUAUUAUUAUUAAAUUGGUACCAGGGAUUGAACCCAGAGGCGCUUAACCACUGAGCCACAUCCUUAUCCCUUUUUAUAUUUUAUUUAGAGACAGGGUCUCACUGAGUUGCUUAGGGCCUCGCUCAGUUGCUGAGGCUGGCCUUGAACUCGAAAUCGUCCUGCCUCAGCCUCCCAAGCCACUGGAUUACAGGCAUGUGUUGCCUGCCUGGCUAGUUGAUAGUCUAUUUUAAAUAUCUUCCUAGUAUAGAGAGAGUGCAGCAAACAUCUUUGUACAAAAUUUUCUUUUUUGACCUUUGUCCUAUCUCCUUGGAGCUGUUUCCAAAAGUGAAUAGCUGAGUCAUAGCUUAUGUUUAUUGUCACAUCCUGCAUGAUUGCACUCCCCCAAAUGCUGUAGUUACUUACAGUAUCAUCAGAGAUGUAUGUCUGAGGUAUCUUUUGUCCAUUUCCACUGAUAAUCAUCUGUUUACUGCCGUAAACUUGAUUUUGCUUUCAUUAAUUGUUUGAUGCAAAUGUUAAUGAUCGAUAAGGCCUCUCUAUAAUCAAAGUGUGUUACAAUGCUGGUGUCUUGCACUCAUAUUGUGAGAAUCCAAAAGAGUGGAAUGUGACAAUGUAUGCUAGCAGACCUCAUUCCCUCCACAGCUGUCACUGGACACUGGGGUCCAUGGGAGAGUUUUCUCAGCAGCACAAACAGCCCCAGUUCAUGUUGGAAGUGUCCAGAGGCCACCUUUGCCCUCUGUGCUGAGCUCUGUGCAGGGUGGGUCCUGAGCAAGAUGGCUGCCUGUGCUGUGGGAGACAGCAACAGGAAGAACUCAGGUGAGGGCAGAACCUGCAGUCAGCAGAGGCUCCCAUGGUAGUUCAGGGGAAGUUAGAUUUAUGUUCUACCAAUUUCAUGUUUAGGAAUGGAAUUCUCUUGUCCUACUCAACUUUAAUAUGUGUGGAGUAGGAUGCCAGAAAUGUGUCCCAAAGCCUGGACUUGGAAAUAGAAAUCAAAAUGUGCAAACCAGAAGAGGCUUGCAGAGUGUUCUGGAAGAUUGUGGCAACAAGGAAGAUGGAACCUGUGUACUCAGGAGGCUGGCUAUGCUCUUUCCCACAGACUGAUCAUCUGUUCACGCAAUACAGGGCGUGGAAAUGUGCACUAUCAAGUUGAGGAUGGAAACAUGGCCAUGACAAUGGGAGUAGCUUUUAAACUGCUUUAUUAUAAGUGCAUUUGUAUUUUAACCUGUCAGACAAUAAAUCUGUAAUGCCAUUUUUACGUAAUGCUAUGCCUCUCUUUUAAAGUUUUGCCUACUCAGAUGUUUAAAUGUGAACAUGGCAGAGGUCAGGGAGUCUAGUGGUUAUGGGAAAGAGCCACAGAUGACUGGACUUACCAGGUUAGCCAUGCUUUUGCACUUCCUGGCAACUAUUUGGCGAGGCUUUCACAUCUUCCUAUUUAAUUCCUCACGGCAGUGUCUCUACACUCCUCCCAGCUCCUUGAGUUCCCUCCAAGUUUCACCUCACUGCUCUCAGCAGAUGACAACAUCCCCACCUUACUGAGCGUGUACCACCAGCCUUUCUCUCUUGUCCUGUUCAGGCCAGACUCCUGGGAAGGGCU